GGGGUGCUCGAGUGGCGAACGGGUGAGUAACACGUGAGUAACCUGCCCUUGACUUUGGGAUAACUUCAGGAAACUGGGGCUAAUACCGGACAGGAGCUCCUGCUGCAUGGUGGGGGUUGGAAAGUUUCGGCGGUUGGGGAUGGACUCGCGGCUUAUCAGCUUGUUGGUGGGGUAGUGGCUUACCAAGGCUUUGACGGGUAGCCGGCCUGAGAGGGUGACCGGCCACAUUGGGACUGAGAUACGGCCCAG
RNAcentral lists this ribosomal RNA (249 nucleotides) under uncultured Actinomycetales bacterium. RNAcentral describes it as "partial 16S ribosomal RNA". It matches the Rfam family "Bacterial small subunit ribosomal RNA", at positions 84 to 334 of the family's 1533-position model. Lineage: Bacteria; Bacillati; Actinomycetota; Actinomycetes; Actinomycetales. The record is from RNAcentral.